GACGAACGCUGGCGGCGUGCCUAAUACAUGCAAGUAGAACGCUGAAGGAGGAGCUUGCUUCUCCGGAUGAGUUGCGAACGGGUGAGUAACGCGUAGGUAACCUGCCUGGUAGCGGGGGAUAACUAUUGGAAACGAUAGCUAAUACCGCAUAAGAGUAGAUGUUGCAUGACAUUUGCUUAAAAGGUGCAAUUGCAUCACUACCAGAUGGACCUGCGUUGUAUUAGCUAGUUGGUGGGGUAACGGCUCACCAAGGCGACGAUACAUAGCCGACCUGAGAGGGUGAUCGGCCACACUGGGACUGAGACACGGCCCAGACUCCUACGGGAGGCAGCAGUAGGGAAUCUUCGGCAAUGGACGGAAGUCUGACCGAGCAACGCCGCGUGAGUGAAGAAGGUUUUCGGAUCGUAAAGCUCUGUUGUAAGAGAAGAACGAGUGUGAGAGUGGAAAGUUCACACUGUGACGUAUCUACCAGAA
RNAcentral lists this ribosomal RNA (474 nucleotides) under Streptococcus mitis. RNAcentral describes it as "bacterial SSU rRNA". It matches the Rfam family "Bacterial small subunit ribosomal RNA", at positions 28 to 488 of the family's 1533-position model. Lineage: Bacteria; Bacillati; Bacillota; Bacilli; Lactobacillales; Streptococcaceae. The record is from RNAcentral.